RNAcentral lists this transfer RNA (76 nucleotides) under Shigella flexneri. RNAcentral describes it as "tRNA-Lys". It matches the Rfam family "tRNA". Rfam says of the family: Transfer RNA (tRNA) molecules are approximately 80 nucleotides in length. Their secondary structure includes four short double-helical elements and three loops (D, anti-codon, and T loops). RNAcentral also lists the same sequence under 4 other names. Lineage: Bacteria; Pseudomonadati; Pseudomonadota; Gammaproteobacteria; Enterobacterales; Enterobacteriaceae. The record is from RNAcentral.
GGAUCUUUAGCUCAAUUGGUAGAGCAACGGACUUUUAAUCCGAAGGUUGUGGGUUCGAUUCCCACAGGAUCCACCA